RNAcentral lists this ribosomal RNA (483 nucleotides) under uncultured bacterium. RNAcentral describes it as "partial 16S ribosomal RNA". It matches the Rfam family "Bacterial small subunit ribosomal RNA", at positions 28 to 507 of the family's 1533-position model. The record is from RNAcentral.
GAUGAACGCUGGCGGCGUGCCUAACACAUGCAAGUCGAACGAAGCUUGACGGAUGAUUUCUUCGGAAUGAAACCAGAUAUGACUUAGUGGCGGACGGGUGAGUAACACGUGAGCAACCUGCCUUUCAGAGGGGGAUAACGGCUGGAAACGGUCGCUAAUACCGCAUGAUGUGUUCGGAUGGCAUCAUCUGAACAUCAAAGAUUUAUCGCUGAAAGAUGGGCUCGCGUCUGAUUAGAUAGUUGGUGGGGUAACGGCCUACCAAGUCUACGAUCAGUAGCCGGACUGAGAGGUUGAACGGCCACAUUGGGACUGAGAUACGGCCCAGACUCCUACGGGAGGCAGCAGUGGGGAAUAUUGCACAAUGGGGGAACCCCUGAUGCAGCAACGCCGCGUGAAGGAUGACGGUUUUCGGAUUGUAAACUUCUUUUCUUAGUGACGAAGACAGUGACGGUAGCUAAGGAAUAAGCAUCGGCUAACUACGUG